RNAcentral lists this long non-coding RNA (689 nucleotides) under Brassica rapa (field mustard). RNAcentral describes it as "long non-coding RNA (BRAP_LNC008045)". Lineage: Eukaryota; Viridiplantae; Streptophyta; Magnoliopsida; Brassicales; Brassicaceae. The record is from RNAcentral.
GUCUUUAUAUAGGUUUUACACUCUUGCAAACUCAUAAACCUAUAUCUAAUGGAUAGAAAUAACUUAAGAGGAAUGGAUGGUGAGGAUGAGUUGGUCUUGUUGUAAUCUGAGUGAUGUGUGCUGAUUGGAUAAGCUAAGCUGUCUCACUUUAAUUCAAACAAGGCUGUGCUUUGAUUGGUUCUUCUUAGGCUCCUUUGUAUCUGUCCAUAGAUCAGUCUAGGUGCAUGGUCGUGGCUGCCUUCCUCUUUACAGCAACAGCCAGCCUGUCCAUGCCCCAAAGUAACCAAUCAGCUCCACACAGCAUCUUCUUGAUUCCCUUUGACUAGAUUCAAACCUUGGUGCCUUAUCCAUAUACUAUGCACACUCUUCACAUCCUGAAUAGUGACCCAAAUAGUGAAUAGUGAACCUAAAUAGUGACUAGUGAUUCACUAUUCACUUUUACACCAACUUGCCCAAACUUCUCCAAUCUUACUGUGGUAACUCUCCAAAGUUACUGUGGUAACUUUGGAGUUACUGUCUGACCCAAAUCUUCUCUAAAUGGUGUCUAAGUCCCUCCUGGACUUAACCCUAUCUUUGCACACUCAUCAGACCACUUCUGAAGCCUUAAGACUCUCCCAAAGCCUUAACAUACAAUCUCUGAAGAUCUUGCCAUGUCUUUGCACAAGCACCAACUCAACUCAUCACUUUUG